GCAGCGAUGCCGCGUGAGUGAAGAAGGCCCUUGGGUUGUAAAGCUCUUUCGUCGGGGAAGAAAAUGACUGUACCCGAAUAAGAAGGUCCGGCUAACUUCGUGCCAGCAGCCGCGGUAAUACGAAGGGACCUAGCGUAGUUCGGAAUUACUGGGCUUAAAGAGCACGUAGGUGGUUAAAAAAGUUGGUGGUGAAAUCCCAGAGCUUAACUCUGGAACUGCCAUCAAAACUUUUUAGCUAGAGUAUGAUAGAGGAAAGUAGAAUUUCUAGUGUAGAGGUGAAAUUCGUAGAUAUUAGAAAGAAUACCGAUUGCGAAGGCAACUUUCUGGAUCAUUACUGACACUGAGGUGCGAAAGCAUGGGUAGCGAAGAGGAUUAGAUACCCUCGUAGUCCAUGCCGUAAACGAUGUGUGCUAGACGUUGGAAAUUUAUUU
RNAcentral lists this ribosomal RNA (431 nucleotides) under uncultured Pelagibacterales bacterium. RNAcentral describes it as "bacterial SSU rRNA". It matches the Rfam family "Bacterial small subunit ribosomal RNA", at positions 388 to 839 of the family's 1533-position model. Lineage: Bacteria; Pseudomonadati; Pseudomonadota; Alphaproteobacteria; Candidatus Pelagibacterales. The record is from RNAcentral.